This 796-nucleotide ribosomal RNA is filed under the name uncultured Bacillota bacterium. RNAcentral's name for it is "bacterial SSU rRNA". It matches the Rfam family "Bacterial small subunit ribosomal RNA", at positions 1 to 799 of the family's 1533-position model. Lineage: Bacteria; Bacillati; Bacillota. The record is from RNAcentral.
AGGGAGUUUGAUCCUGGCUCAGGAUGAACGCUGGCGGCGUGCUUAACACAUGCAAGUCGAACGAAGCACUUGUGAAUGAUUUCUUCGGAUUGAUUUCACUUGUGACUUAGUGGCGGACGGGUGAGUAACGCGUGGGUAACCUGCCGUAUGCAGGGGGACAACAGUUGGAAACGACUGCUAAUACCGCAUAACCCGCUAGUACCGCAUGGUACAGACGGAAAAGAUUUAUCGGCAUACGAUGGACCCGCGUCUGAUUAGCUUGUUGGUGAGGUAACGGCCCACCAAGGCGACGAUCAGUAGCCGAACUGAGAGGUUGACCGGCCACAUUGGGACUGAGACACGGCCCAGACUCCCACGGGAGGCAGCAGUGGGGAAUAUUGCACAAUGGGGGAAACCCUGAUGCAGCAACGCCGCGUGAGUGAUGAAGUAUUUCGGUAUGUAAAGCUCUAUCAGCAGGGAAGAAAAUGACGGUACCUGACUAAGAAGCCCCGGCUAACUACGUGCCAGCAGCCGCGGUAAUACGUAGGGGGCAAGCGUUAUCCGGAUUUACUGGGUGUAAAGGGAGCGCAGACGGUUGCGUAAGUCAGAAGUGAAAGCCCUUGGCUCAACUGAGGGACUGCUUUUGAAACUAUACAACUAGAGUACUGGAGGGGCAAGCGGAAUUCCUGGUGUAGCGGUGAAAUGCGUAGAUAUCAGGAGGAACACCGGUGGCGAAGGCGGCUUGCUGGACAGUAACUGACGUUGAGGCUCGAAAGCGUGGGGAGCAAACAGGAUUAAGAUACCCUGGUAGUCCCCU